Molecule: ribosomal RNA, 479 nt
Filed under: uncultured bacterium
Lineage: Bacteria
Description: bacterial SSU rRNA
Rfam family: Bacterial small subunit ribosomal RNA
Source: RNAcentral
CAGGACGAACGCUGGCGGCGUGCUUAACACAUGCAAGUCGAGCGGAAACAUUCUUUCGGGAGAUGUUUAGUGGCGGACGGGUGAGUAACGCGUGAGCAACUUGCCUUGGACAGUGGGAUAACACAGGGAAACCUGUGCUAAUACCGCAUGAAGUGCGAGAGUGGCAUCACUCUUGUACCAAAGGAGCAAUCCGGUCUGAGAUGGGCUCGCGUCCGAUUAGGUAGUUGGUGAGGUAAUGGCCCCACCAAGCCCGCGAUCGGUAGCCGGACUGAGAGGUUGGCCGGCCACAUUGGGACUGAGAUACGGCCCAGACUCCUACGGGAGGCAGCAGUGGGGAAUAUUAGGCAAUGGGGGCAAACCCCUGACCUAGCAACGCCGCGUGAGGGAUGAAGGUUUUCGGAUUGUAAACCUCUUUGGCAGGGGACGAUAAUGACGGUACCCUGAGAACAAGCCACGGCUAACUACGUGCCAGCCGCCGC